UGAGGAAUUUUCCGCAAUGGGCGCAAGCCUGACGGAGCGACGCCGCGUGAGGGAUUAAGGCCUUCGGGUUGUAAACCUCUUUUACGAGGGAAAAAGGGUUGAUCGCUUUAAAACCGGUCAAUUUUGAUGGUACUUCGUGAAUAAGCCCCGGCUAACUACGUGCCAGCAGCCGCGGUAAUACGUAGGGGGCGAGCGUUGUCCGGAAUUACUGGGCGUAAAGGGCGUGUAGGCGGUUGGAUAAGUCUGGUGUGAAAUUCCAUGGCUUAACUGUGGAGCUGCGCUGGAUACUGUCUGACUGGAGUUCGGUAGGGGUGACUAGAAUUCCCGGUGUAACGGUGAAAUGUGUAGAUAUCGGGAGGAAUACCUGUGGCGAAGGCGGGUCACUGGGCCGUAACUGACGCUGAGACGCGAAAGCGUGGGGAGCAAACAGG
This 431-nucleotide ribosomal RNA is filed under the name uncultured bacterium. RNAcentral's name for it is "bacterial SSU rRNA". It matches the Rfam family "Bacterial small subunit ribosomal RNA", at positions 355 to 776 of the family's 1533-position model. The record is from RNAcentral.